AGUGGACGCUGGCGGUAGGCCUAACACAUGCAAGUCGAACGGCAGCACAGUAAGAGCUUGCUCUUACGGGUGGCGAGUGGCGGACGGGUGAGGAAUACAUCGGAAUCUACUUUUUCGUGGGGGAUAACUUAGGGAAACUUACGCUAAUACCGCAUACGACCUACGGGUGAAAGCAGGGGAUCUUCGGACCUUGCGCGAUUGAAUGAGCCGAUGUCGGAUUAGCUAGUUGGCGGGGUAAAGGCCCACCAAGGCGACGAUCCGUAGCUGGUCUGAGAGGAUGAUCAGCCACACUGGAACUGAGACACGGUCCAGACUCCUACGGGAGGCAGCAGUGGGGAAUAUUGGACAAUGGGCGCAAGCCUGAUCCAGCCAUACCGCGUGGGUGAAGAAGGCCUUCGGGUUGUAAAGCCCUUUUGUUGGGAAAGAAAAGCAGCAGGUUAAUACCCCGCUGUUCUGACGGUACCCAAAGAAUAAGCACCGGCUAACUUCGUG
Molecule: ribosomal RNA, 492 nt
Filed under: uncultured bacterium
Lineage: Bacteria
Description: partial 16S ribosomal RNA
Rfam family: Bacterial small subunit ribosomal RNA
Source: RNAcentral